GUGGGGAAUAUUGGACAAUGGGCGAAAGCCUGAUCCAGCCAUGCCGCGUGUGUGAAGAAGGUCUUCGGAUUGUAAAGCACUUUAAGUUGGGAGGAAGGGCAGUAAGUUAAUACCUUGCUGUUUUGACGUUACCGACAGAAUAAGCACCGGCUAACUUCGUGCCAGCAGCCGCGGUAAUACGAAGGGUGCAAGCGUUAAUCGGAAUUACUGGGCGUAAAGCGCGCGUAGGUGGUUUUGUAAGUUGGAGGUGAAAUCCCCGGGCUAAACCUGGGAACUGCCUCCAAAACUGCAUGACUAGAGUACGGUAGAGGGUAGUGGAAUUUCCUGUGUAGCGGUGAAAUGCGUAGAUAUAGGAAGGAACACCAGUGGCGAAGGCGACUACCUGGACUGAUACUGACACUGAGGUGCGAAAGCGUGGGGAGCAAACAGGAUUAGAUACCCGUGUAGUCC
This 450-nucleotide ribosomal RNA is filed under the name uncultured bacterium. RNAcentral's name for it is "partial 16S ribosomal RNA". It matches the Rfam family "Bacterial small subunit ribosomal RNA", at positions 354 to 796 of the family's 1533-position model. The record is from RNAcentral.